GACGAACGCUGGCGGCGUGCUUAACACAUGCAAGUCGAACGGAAAGGCCCUGCUUUUGUGGGGUGCUCGAGUGCCGAACGGGUGAGUAACACGUGAGUAACCUGCCCUUGACUUUGGGAUACCUUCUGUAAACUGGGGCUAAUACACGAUAGGAGCUCCUGAUGCAUGGUGGGGGUUGGAGAGUUUCGGCGGUUGGGGAUGGACUCGCGGCUUAUCAGCUUGUUGGUGGGGUAGUGGCUUACCAAGGCUUUGACGGGUAGCCGGCCUGAGAGGGUGACCGGCCACAUUGGGACUGAGAUACGGCCCAGACUCCUACGGGAGGCAGCAGGGGGGAAUAUUGCACAAUGGGCGGAAGCCUGAUGCAGCAACGCCGCGUGCGGGAUGACGGCCUUCGGGUUGUAAACCGCUUUCGCCUGUGACGAAGCGUGAGUGACGGUACUGGGUAAAGAAGCACCGGCUAACUACGUG
This 468-nucleotide ribosomal RNA is filed under the name uncultured bacterium. Its description in RNAcentral is "partial 16S ribosomal RNA". It matches the Rfam family "Bacterial small subunit ribosomal RNA", at positions 28 to 507 of the family's 1533-position model. The record is from RNAcentral.